Molecule: ribosomal RNA, 1748 nt
Filed under: Natantispora retorquens
Lineage: Eukaryota; Fungi; Ascomycota; Sordariomycetes; Microascales; Halosphaeriaceae
Description: SSU rRNA
Rfam family: Eukaryotic small subunit ribosomal RNA
Source: RNAcentral
GUAGUCAUAUGCUUGUCUCAAAGAUUAAGCCAUGCAUGUCUAAGUAUAAGCAAUUAUACGGCGAAACUGCGAAUGGCUCAUUAUAUAAGUUAUCGUUUAUUUGAUAGCACCUUUUUACUCGGAUAACUGUGGUAAUUCUAGAGCUAAUACGUGCUGAAAAUCCCGACUUCGGAAGGGCUGUAUUUAUUAGAUUCAAAACCAAUGCCCUUCGGGGCUUCAUGGUGAUUCAUAAUAACUGCUCGAAUCGCAUGGCCUUGCGCCGGCGAUGGUUCAUUCAAAUUUCUUCCCUAUCAACUUUCGAUGCGAGGGUCUUGUCCUCGCAUGGUUACAACGGGUAACGGAGGGUUAGGGCUCGACCCCGGAGAAGGAGCCUGAGAAACGGCUACUACAUCCAAGGAAGGCAGCAGGCGCGCAAAUUACCCAAUCCCGACACGGGGAGGUAGUGACAAUAAAUACUGAUACAGGGCUCUUUUGGGUCUUGUAAUCGGAAUGAGUACUAUUUAAAUCCCAUAACGAGGAACAAUUGGAGGGCAAGUCUGGUGCCAGCAGCCGCGGUAAUUCCAGCUCCAAUAGCGUAUAUUAAAGUUGUUGUGGUUAAAAAGCUCGUAGUUGAACCUUGGGCCUGGCCUGUCAGUCCCCCUCACCGGGUGCACUGAUCUGGCCGGGUCUUUCCCUCCGCGGAACCCCAUGGCCUUCACUGGUCGUGGCGGGGAAACGGGACUUUUACUUUGAAAAAAUUAGAGUGCUCCAGGCAGGCCUAUGCUCGAAUACAUUAGCAUGGAAUAAUAAAAUAGGACGCGUGGUUCUAUUUUGUUGGUUUCUAGGACCGCCGUAAUGAUUAAUAGGGACAGUCGGGGGCAUCAGUAUUCAAUUGUCAGAGGUGAAAUUCUUGGAUCUAUUGAAGACUAACUACUGCGAAAGCAUUUGCCAAGGAUGUUUUCAUUGAUAAGGAACGAAAGUUAGGGGAUCGAAGACGAUCAGAUACCGUCGUAGUCUUAACUAUAAACUAUGCCGACUAGGGAUCGGACGAUGUUGUUUUUUGACUCGUUCGGCACCUUUCGAGAAAUCAAAGUGCUUGGGCUCCAGGGGGAGUAUGGUCGCAAGGCUGAAACUUAAAGGAAUUGACGGAAGGGCACCACCAGGGGUGGAACCUGCGGCUUAAUUUGACUCAACACGGGGAAACUCACCAGGUCCAGACACAGUGAGGAUUGACAGAUUGAUAGCUCUUUCUUGAUUCUGUGGGUGGUGGUGCAUGGCCGUUCUUAGUUGGUGGAGUGAUUUGUCUGCUUAAUUGCGAUAACGAACGAGACCUUAACCUGCUAAAUAGCCCAAUCUGCUCCGGCAGUUUGCUGGCUUCUUAGAGGGACUAUCGGCUCAAAGCCGAUGGAAGUUUGAGGCAAUAACAGGUCUUGUGAUGCCCUUAGAUGUCCUGGGCCGCACGCGCGGUUACACUGACAAAGCCAGCGAGUAUUUCCUUUGCCGGAAGGUCCGGGUAAUCUUGUUAAACUUUGUCGUGCUGGGGAUAGAGCAUUGCAAUUAUUGCUCUUCAACGAGGAAUCCCUAGUAAGCGCAAGUCAUCAGCUUGCGUUGAUUACGUCCCUGCCCUUUGUACACACCGCCCGUCGCUACUACCGAUUGAACGGCUCAGUGAGGUUUUCGGACUGGCCCAGGGAGGCGGGCAACUGCCACCCCGGGCCGGAAAGUUGCCCAAACUCGGUCGUUUAGAGGAAGUAAAAGUCGUAACAGAG